AUCAGGGUUUAAUUUAAUAUUGUUUUCGUUUACGUUGAAAAAUUUUUUUGUGUAAUUCAAAAAGCCUUGAUU
RNAcentral lists this transfer RNA (72 nucleotides) under Coptotettix longjiangensis. Its description in RNAcentral is "tRNA-Val". Lineage: Eukaryota; Metazoa; Arthropoda; Insecta; Orthoptera; Tetrigidae. The record is from RNAcentral. RNAcentral also lists the same sequence under 1 other name.